RNAcentral lists this ribosomal RNA (253 nucleotides) under uncultured bacterium. RNAcentral describes it as "partial 16S ribosomal RNA". It matches the Rfam family "Bacterial small subunit ribosomal RNA", at positions 524 to 776 of the family's 1533-position model. The record is from RNAcentral.
UACGGAGGGAGCUAGCGUUGUUCGGAAUUACUGGGCGUAAAGCGCGCGUAGGCGGCUUUGUAAGUUAGAGGUGAAAGCCCGGGGCUCAACCCCGGAAUUGCCUUUAAGACUGCAUCGCUAGAAUCCGGGAGAGGUGAGUGGAAUUCCCAGUGUAGCGGUGAAAUGCGUAGAUAUUGGGAGGAACACCAGUGGCGAAGGCGGCUCACUGGACCGGUACUGACGCUGAGGCGCGAAAGCGUGGGGAGCAAACAGG